AUUGAACGCUGGCGGCAGGCCUAACACAUGCAAGUCGAACGGCAGCACAGAAGAGCUUGCUCUUUGGGUGGCGAGUGGCGGACGGGUGAGUAAUGUCUGGGAAACUGCCCGAUGGAGGGGGAUAACUACUGGAAACGGUAGCUAAUACCGCAUAACGUCGCGAGACCAAAGUGGGGGACCUUCGGGCCUCACACCAUCGGAUGUGCCCAGAUGGGAUUAGCUAGUAGGUGGGGUAAUGGCUGACCUAGGCGACGAUCCCUAGCUGGUCUGAGAGGAUGACCAGCCACACUGGAACUGAGACACGGUCCAGACUCCUACGGGAGGCGGCAGUGGGGAAUAUUGCACAAUGGGCGCAAGCCUGAUGCAGCCAUGCCGCGUGUAUGAAGAAGGCCUUCGGGUUGUAAAGUACUUUCAGCGGGGAGGAAGGCGGUGAGGUUAAUAACCUUGCCGAUUGACGUUACCCGCAGAAGAAGCACCGGCUAACUCCGUGCCAGCCGCCGCCGUAA
Molecule: ribosomal RNA, 506 nt
Filed under: uncultured bacterium
Lineage: Bacteria
Description: partial 16S ribosomal RNA
Rfam family: Bacterial small subunit ribosomal RNA
Source: RNAcentral